GACACUUUGGCCGAGCGGUUAAGGCGCAGGCCUGCUACUACGUUUUCACUGUAAUAGCUGAUUAGCCUGUGGGUUCGCCCUCCUGGGUUCGAAUCCCAGAGGUGUCG
Non-coding RNA from Aspergillus piperis CBS 112811, 107 nucleotides. NCBI's taxonomy places the organism in Eukaryota, Fungi, Ascomycota, Eurotiomycetes, Eurotiales, Aspergillaceae. The record is from the annotation of a RefSeq genome assembly.